Molecule: long non-coding RNA, 1264 nt
Filed under: Triticum aestivum (bread wheat)
Lineage: Eukaryota; Viridiplantae; Streptophyta; Magnoliopsida; Poales; Poaceae
Description: long non-coding RNA (TAES_LNC017266)
Source: RNAcentral
UCUAGGGAAGCAUCCACUAUCCCUGUUCUACUGAUUUCGCCGGAACGUCGACCGCCUAUGCUCCACCUGAGGUACGCCGUUCUAAAAUCCACACAGCUAAGCCAUGAGUAACCUUCAAGUAGCAAGCUGUUAUGUUUCGAAAUUUAUUUGAAAGAUAAUGUGUUUUGGGCUUUAUACUUCACCAUGAUCUUUUACUAUGUAUCUGCAUCGAUAGCAUCUAUCGUAAUUGCCUUGCCAUAUACAGACAUGCUGUGGAGUUUUGCAAGCAAAAGUGAAACCUAUAAUAAUGAGUGACGAUUAUGAUAUGAUUACUGGAUGAGUAAUUCAGGGCAAGAAAGCUAAUUUACUGGAAAAUUGUAAAUAUUGUAUUAAACAUAGUACAGAUGUACUUCGCUUGCCAAUUUUAAUUUCCAUUUAGAUCUAACACGAUGUCGUGCUUAUAAUUUCCACAAAAUAUUGCCGGUAACUUGCAUAUGUUGGAUGUGAAAAACAGCAAUAUACACUUUGAUACUUUGAGGCUAUUAGAAAUAGUAGGGAUGAUAUGCUACUUCCAGUCUGCAACAAUUUAUUACUGGUCCCCUUGCCUCGCUUAUAGUUCAUGUAGUACCAUGUUUAUGCUUCAAACCAGCUAUGACAUCCCUCUUCCACCCAUUCUAUAUUGAUAUUGCUUCUAAAUACACAUAUGCAUGUAGUUACUCUUUUACAGUACUAAUGCCAGAUAUCAUAAGGUAGAAAAAUGUAGUGCUAUUUUAGUUAUGGAGUCGGCAAUGCAUGUUACUGGAAUGAUCAGCUAGCAUGCAAAUGAGCUCCAUUUCUUCUCUUUCAGAUACGAUCUUAUGUUCUGCCUGAACAUAGAUGCUUCUGCUGUGCGCUCCAUUGUCCUGUCUUACUACAAUUGGGUAUUGAAACCGCCUAUUUUGAAUGCAACAAUUUAAAUAUUUACUGCUCUCUCUCUCUCUCACCAUGUUUAGUGAUGACGAAGCGAUGCAUACGGAAACAUGUUCGAUAAGAAUCAGCGUGCCAAUAUGGAAUAUAAGGUGAGUGAGUAUUGUGUAUGCUGAGCCCUCCAAACAUUUUGCAAGGCCUGUAAAACAGUGGAAUGCAGCACUAGCAGAAAGGAAGAACUGUAGACUCAAUCGUGGACUACUUGAGUUAACUAUUUGCUCAAUACAUCAAGCACCAGGCCUCUCCUACUCCUGCUCUCAAAAUGGAAAAGGAGAUCAGGCAACUAGGGAUCUGAGUACUGUAAUUUCAUAAAUUUUGU